This is a non-coding RNA of Manis javanica (Malayan pangolin), 201 nucleotides long. The record is from RefSeq and is a predicted model, not a curated record. Lineage: Eukaryota; Metazoa; Chordata; Mammalia; Pholidota; Manidae.
AAGACCAGCCUUUCAGGGGUCAUUUCUAUGGUUCAUUACCAGGAGGUUUCUCUUAACAUGUAGAGAAGCUGAAACCACAAGAACGUGCCUCCUGAGCUUGAAGUGGUUUUUGGUGUUGCAUCCACAACUGCUGUUUGCCCAUGAUGAUUGUCCUUCUCUUCCCUCAGGGGGGUAAGAGGGGGAGAAUGCCAUCUGAGUGGU